Molecule: long non-coding RNA, 1425 nt
Organism: Gasterosteus aculeatus aculeatus (three-spined stickleback)
Lineage: Eukaryota; Metazoa; Chordata; Actinopteri; Perciformes; Gasterosteidae
Source: Ensembl
AAUUUGUCAGGUGACAGGAACCAGGAAGUCAAUGAAGAAUAUGGCUCAGAACUGCUGUUUGUAUUGGUAGCUUUUCAAUCCAGUUGAGUCUGCAUGCAUCCUAUACCUUUUUGAUAGCAUCGUUGUUUUACUCUUUCUCAUGUCAAUAAACCUGUGGACAACGGACCAUUGUCUUCAGAGUCGUGAUGUCAGAAAAGAGUUCGUCUAACUGCCAAGGUGUAUCGGAGCGCAUAUACCGAGGGCGGCAUAGUAAAACAACGCUUUCUACCGGGCAAGAUAACGCAGCCAACUGACAGAUGCUACGAACAACGUCAUCACACGCAACCAGUGGAUGACCAUCACAGCGGUGUCUAAACAGAGGUACGUCAACAGACAACGCCAUGUCCGAGAAAGCAACUUCAUUAAAGACGCGGUCCCGCGCUACAUGUUCUGCUACAUACUCAAGUGUAUCAUCGACGGGGUCUGCUGCUGCAAAAGCGAGAGCGAGAGCAGAGGCAGCAAAGGCACGCAUGUCCUACGCUAAAGAGGAAAUGACCCUGAAGAUAGAAAAAGCUAAGCUAGAAGCCUCAAUAGAAAUGCUCAAAUACAAGAAAGAGACAGCUGCAGCUGUAGCUGAGGCCGAAGUCCUUGAAGCUGCGGUAGAGGCAAAUAGUGAAAGACAAAGUUUGAUGUCAAACUUGGAAUCUGCACAACGCACAGAACAAUAUGUGAUUGACCAAGCUGAAUCACUAAACACAGACGCUCAGCUGCUUGAUGAUGGUGUUGUCGCGAAAAGAGAGCCAAGCCAAAACUACGAAACUCCAACUUCAUCUAUCAAACCUGAAGCAGACUCAUUCCAUCCGGCUCAAGCCAAUAUAUUUUCCCAUCAUACACAAAGCCACAAUGCAGCUUCUCAACCAACUCGCCUCACCUCACAGCAGCCUUACAUCUACGAAGAUGAGAAGGUCCACACGACACACAAUGUUCGGUUUGACAACCGCAAUGCUACUCCUGAGCAAGGUCUUAGACGUCAAAACGACAAAAGUCAUCCCGCUCUUAAAUCCUACCCCACAUCUUCAAACAACAAUAAUGAAAACUCCAACAUUAGCGACUUUGUAAGAUACUUUGCUCGUCGUGAGCUUGUGGCAACAGGCCUGCUUCAAUUCAACGACAGACCUCAGAACUACAGAGCCUGGAAACGUUCUUUCCAGAACGCAACCAGAGGGUUGGACCUGACACCAAGUGAGGAAAUGGAUCUCCUGUUUAAAUGGCUCGGCAAAGAGUCAUCAGAACAUGUCGAGCACAUAAGAGCAAUACACAUCAACCAUCCAGCGGCAGGCUUGGCCAUGAUAUGGGACAGACUAGAACAAUCUUAUGGUUCUGCCGAAGUAAUAGAAGAUGCUCUGUUCAAACGUAUGACGCCUUCCCAAAAUUAACAAAUCGAGA